Molecule: long non-coding RNA, 1152 nt
Organism: Chiroxiphia lanceolata (lance-tailed manakin)
Lineage: Eukaryota; Metazoa; Chordata; Aves; Passeriformes; Pipridae
Exons: 3
Source: RefSeq, a predicted model, not a curated record
CCCCCCGCCCCAGCCGUGCGCGCUCACCGUCGGAGCUGACGGUGUCGUAGGAGUCACCAGGGGCGGGCACCGCGGCCGGCUCCCGGUAGUCCACCCAGCUGAGCCCUUCUACGCUGUCGUACUCGGCGCGGGGCUUGUCCUCCACCGGUACCACAGUGAAGUGCGGCAUGGCUGGCGGGGCGAUCACACAGGAGUCUAUGGAAGGAUACAAAGCUUAAUGUGGAGGAAGAGUCUAGGAGUAGACAUUUCCUGUGCUCAGAACCACCUUAUUCCCAGCUUUCUGAAUUUGUCCUGCCUUUUUGACAAAGCAACCCCCAGGUCACUGGGAGAAAGAAAAAUUUGUAAUGAGCAGAAAAGAAACAAACAUGAGGGAAAAUGCUUUGUUCAUGAAAACUGAGUAAUAAGUCUACUUUUAAUUAGAGUUGGAGAAAGAAGUGCUUUAUGAAAACAUAUAGACCAGGUGCUGACAAUGGGCUUCAGAGGAAAAUACCUGAUAUAGAGAGGAAAGAAUCAUCCUAAUGGAGUUUACAAAACCAUUUGGGGAGAAGCAACAGAAACAGAGCAAAAUUAAGUGCCCUCUCACCUGAGUUAUAAUUGUUGAGGCCAGAGCCUUGAUUAGAACCUGCAACAUUUCUCUGAUGUAAGCUAAAUGUAGAUCUUUGUUUACUUUGCUUUUGCUUCCCCUCCACUAUUUGUUGACCCAUGAGAGAAGCAACUGACCAAGUAAAAGAGGGGUUGGUUGUUGCUUUUGCUCUGAAAAAAAAAAACAACUUCACAGGUUGUAGGAAUUUCUCAAAAAGUGCAAAAAAAAAGUGCAGACGCUGUGGAAAGAAUUGACACCAUUGCAAUGAGUGCCAGGAAGCAGAACAGGCUACAAGCAGCUCAUCUGGUAAUACUGGACUAAGCGACUGAGAGGUUCUGUCUCAGUCACCGAAGAUCCUGGACAUUUGUGAAGUACAGAAAUGGAACAAAAAUGCUUCCUAUUACCACAAAUUUUGGUUUUCCUCUAUUUCCUUCCCAUUUCCUAAUGAAGUUAUAAAUAAACAUGAAGGUUAGGAAAAAUCUCUGGUUUCAGAACAUAAAAAAAGUAAAAUUAUAGGAGAACCAAAACAACCAUUCCCAUCUCAAGUUCUUCUACAUAGGUGUAAAGUU